Molecule: ribosomal RNA, 402 nt
Filed under: uncultured bacterium
Lineage: Bacteria
Description: partial 16S ribosomal RNA
Rfam family: Bacterial small subunit ribosomal RNA
Source: RNAcentral
UGGGGAAUCUUGCGCAAUGGGCGAAAGCCUGACGCAGCCAUGCCGCGUGAAUGAUGAAGGUCUUAGGAUUGUAAAAUUCUUUCACCGAGGACGAUAAUGACGGUACCCGGAGAAGAAGCCCCGGCUAACUUCGUGCCAGCAGCCGCGGUAAUACGAAGGGGGCUAGCGUUGCUCGGAAUUACUGGGCGUAAAGGGAGCGUAGGCGGACUGUUAAGUUAGAGGUGAAAGCCCAGGGCUCAACCUUGGAAUUGCCUUUGAUACUGGCAGUCUUGAGUACGGAAGAGGUAUGUGGAACUCCGAGUGUAGAGGUGAAAUUCGUAGAUAUUCGGAAGAACACCAGUGGCGAAGGCGACAUACUGGUCCGUUACUGACGCUGAGGCUCGAAAGCGUGGGGAGCAAACA